AAAAUUGACGUAUAUGGUCGUUCGUUGUGGUGAAAGGGCUGCGUAGUGGAUAAGUUGGAGAAGGAUCUUUAAAAUAUAAAUCAAAUGACAUUUGAAGAUUAAAAUAAAAAUAACUUAGUCCGUGACAUCCCUAGAAAUCCACGUACGCAUAUACGAACCUCAGAUCACUGCAAAAUGCAGUAGCCGCUUCGCUGGAACUCCUCAGUUAUUCACACUUCAACGUUUCCUCUUCCUUAAGAAACUUCCCUUCGUUUUUUAAAAGUCUUAAUAUUAUUCGUAUAAUCAUCUAUUCAUCUUUGGUCGGUGAUCGCAUAAUGAUGAAAUUUUCUUAAGUUAUCGUCGUCAGUCUUUUUUCUUUUUCUGUUUCUUUUUGGGUUUGAUAUUAAGUCUUAUGUAUAUUGUUAUAAGAAUAUAAAUGUUCUUACUUUUAUUUGUAGACAUCUCUGUUCUGAUGUUACUUG
This is a long non-coding RNA of Arabidopsis thaliana (thale cress), 461 nucleotides long. RefSeq annotates it as other RNA. Lineage: Eukaryota; Viridiplantae; Streptophyta; Magnoliopsida; Brassicales; Brassicaceae. The record is from RefSeq. The transcript has a single exon.